UGCAGUCGAGCGGACAGAUGGGAGCUUGCUCCCUGAUGUCAGCGGCGGACGGGUGAGUAACACGUGGGUAACCUGCCUGUAAGACUGGGAUAACUCCGGGAAACCGGGGCUAAUACCGGAUGCUUGAUUGAACCGCAUGGUUCAAUUAUAAAAGGUGGCUUUUAGCUACCACUUACAGAUGGACCCGCGGCGCAUUAGCUAGUUGGUGAGGUAACGGCUCACCAAGGCAACGAUGCGUAGCCNACCUGAGAGGGUGAUCGGCCACACUGGGACUGAGACACGGCCCAGACUCCUACGGGAGGCAGCAGUAGGGAAUCUUCCGCAAUGGACGAAAGUCUGACGGAGCAACGCCGCGUGAGUGAUGAAGGUUUUCGGAUCGUAAAACUCUGUUGUUAGGGAAGAACAAGUACCGUUCGAAUAGGGCGGUACCUUGACGGUACCUAACCAGAAAGCCACGGCUAACUACGUGCCAGCAGCCGCGGUAAUACGUAGGUGGCAAGCGUUGUCCGGAAUUAUUGGGCGUAAAGCGCGCGCAGGCGGUUUCUUAAGUCUGAUGUGAAAGCCCCCGGCUCAACCGGGGAGGGUCAUUGGAAACUGGGGAACUUGAGUGCAGAAGAGGAGAGUGGAAUUCCACGUGUAGCGGUGAAAUGCGUAGAGAUGUGGAGGAACACCAGUGGCGAAGGCGACUCU
This 690-nucleotide ribosomal RNA is filed under the name Bacillus licheniformis. RNAcentral describes it as "bacterial SSU rRNA". It matches the Rfam family "Bacterial small subunit ribosomal RNA", at positions 56 to 728 of the family's 1533-position model. Lineage: Bacteria; Bacillati; Bacillota; Bacilli; Caryophanales; Bacillaceae. The record is from RNAcentral.